AUCGUCUGAGCUGGGUAUAGGGGCGAAAGACCAAUCGAACCAUCUAGUAGCUGGUUCCCUCCGAAGUUUCCCUCAGGAUAGCUGGCUCUCGGGAAGAGACGAGUCUCAUCCGGUAGAGCGAAUGAUUAGAGGUGAUGGGGUCGAAACGACUUCAACCUAUUCUCAAACUCCCAAUAGAUGAGAGCCCCGGCUUGCUUGAAAGUGAAGCCGCGGGACACGGAUCAGAGGUGCCAAGUGGGCCAAUUUUGGUAAGCAGAACUGGCGCUGUGGGAUGAACCAAACGCAGAGUUAAGGCGCCUGAUUCGACGCUCAUCCGAAACCAUGAAAGGCGUUGGUUGCUUAAGACAGCAGGUCGGUGGCCAUGGAAGUCGGAAUCCGCUAAGGAGUGUGUAACAACUCACCUGCCGAAGCAACUAGCCCUGAAAAUGGAUGGCGCUGUAGCGUCGUGCCUAUACUCUGCCGUCAACGGCAAAGCGGGCGGCCCCUCACGGGGCGUUGCCGUUAAGCCUUGACGAGUAGGAGGGUCGCGGCGGUGUGCGCGGAAGGGUCUGGGCGUGAGCCCGCCUGGAGCCGCCGCCGGUGCAGAUCUUGGUGGUAGUAGCAAAUACUCCAGCGAGGCCCUGGAGGACUGAUGUGGAGAAGGGUUUCUUGUGAACAGCUGUUGCACAAGAGUCAGUCGAUCCUAAGCCCUAGGAGAAAUCCGAAGCGAUGGUCUGCCGUUAAAUUUCAAAGACGACCGCAGAGAGGAAAGAAAAAUUUUUAUUUUUUUUUCUUUUUCUCGCAGUUGUAUAUUGAGAUGGCACCGUCUGGGCGAAAGGGAGUCCGGUUCCUAUUCCGGAACCCGGCAGCGGAACCGCUCCAAUUCGGGCCCUCAUCCGAGGACUCGUCGGGGUGACCCGAAAUGACCCGGAGAAGCCGUAGGGAGGUCCGGGGAGAGUUGUCUCUUCUCUAUAAGCGUUCGAGUUCCCU
This 969-nucleotide ribosomal RNA is filed under the name Phthiacnemia picta. RNAcentral describes it as "partial large subunit ribosomal RNA". It matches the Rfam family "Eukaryotic large subunit ribosomal RNA", at positions 901 to 1721 of the family's 3401-position model. The record is from RNAcentral. Lineage: Eukaryota; Metazoa; Arthropoda; Insecta; Hemiptera; Coreidae.